RNAcentral lists this unclassified non-coding RNA (342 nucleotides) under soil metagenome. RNAcentral's name for it is "partial contains 5.8S ribosomal RNA, internal transcribed spacer 2, and large subunit ribosomal RNA". The stretch from base 1 to 120 matches the Rfam family "5.8S ribosomal RNA", at positions 35 to 154 of the family's 154-position model. The record is from RNAcentral.
GAUGAAGAACGUAGCGAAAUGCGAUAAGUAAUGUGAAUUGCAGAAUUCAGUGAAUCAUCGAAUCUUUGAACGCACAUUGCGCCCGGGAGCAUUCUCCCGGGCAUGCCUGUUCGAGCGUCAUUUCAACCCUCGAUUUCCCUUUGGGGAAGUCGGCCGUUGGAGAUCGGCAGCACUGCCGGCUCCCAAAUACAGUGGCGACCCGCCGCGGGGACCCCUGCGUAGUAACUUACACUCGCACCGGAAACCAGACGUGUCACGCCGUAAAACCCCCAACUUUCUGAACGUUGACCUCGGAUCAGGUAGGAAUACCCGCUGAACUUAAGCAUAUCAAUAAGUGGAGGA